Molecule: long non-coding RNA, 1865 nt
Filed under: Vulpes vulpes (red fox)
Lineage: Eukaryota; Metazoa; Chordata; Mammalia; Carnivora; Canidae
Description: lncRNA (ENSVVUG00000006482.1)
Rfam family: U2 spliceosomal RNA (bases 1616-1788)
Source: RNAcentral
CUUUGGGUUAACGGUAACCUCAAACACUUCCCAAUCCCGUCUCCCAAGUGCCAUGUAGUUGAUUAUAGUCAUGUUUUAAAACAAGAAUAUGUGAUGCUCCACUGUUUCAUAAAUAAGAUACCUACACACUAUGAUGAUGAUGGUGAUAACUACUUUCAACUCCUGACUUCUUCUCAAGGAGGUGGCGUGAGAAAGUGGUGACAGACGCAGACUUUGCAGGCCAAUUACAGAAAUCUGGCUGGCAAAUGACCACAUUUUAAAUCUUUGUUUUUCUCCGUUAAAUGAACCUAAAGAUAGUCCCUACCAACUGUGGGCAUUAUCUGACAUAAUGUGUAUGAAUUGCCAGGGAUCCCUGGGUGGUUCAGCAAUUUAGCACCUGUCUUUGGCUCAGGGUGUGAUCCUGGAGUCCGGGAUCGAGUCUCAUAUGGGGCUCCCUGCAUGGAGCCUACUUCUACCUCUGCCUGUGUCUCUCCCUCUGUGUGUGUGUGUGUGUGUCUAUUAUGAAUAAAUAAAUAAAAUCUUUUUAAAAAUGUGUGUAAAUUGCCUAACCCAUAGGAAAACUCAACAAGACUGCUAUAAUUAUUACUGUGCCCCAGGUAUUAUUUGACUAGAAAUGUCUUUUUGUUUCAUUUCAUCCCCAGGGCCACCCAUUCUCUUUAAAGACCCAGGAGACAGAUUCAGCAGAGGUCAGUCACCGGCAGAAGGUUCCAUGGAUAACAAGCAGCAGAACCAAAAUUUGAACCAGUCUGUGUGUCUUCAGCCUGUUGUCUCCUCCUCAGCAAGGUGGGAGGAGCAGCUCUGGUUGCUGCAAACUCUCAAGUCAUUCCUCACGCCAAGACAUCUGGGGGUUUCCACUGAGUUGUAACUGCUGAACAUGAUGCAGACUGGGGACCGCCAAUAGUCUCAAAGCUGUAAGAAAAGGAAACUCACACCACACAGUUCCCUUCUCCCAGCAUCAAAUUGCCUCCUGGAUCCCUCUGCUUCGGCUUUCCUUCCAAUGCCCUCACAUAGUUUUUUUUUUUUUCUUAUGCUUUAUCCAGGGUACAUAGUUAUCCGCAACAAGGUUAAUCCAAUUGGAGGUUACUUGACUAUAAACAAAUGCAGAAGUCCAGGCUUGAGGGUCAUAAAGUCAAAAUCGCACUUAUUAGUAUAGUUUUUCAAGAAACACUGAGACUACCAAAGAGAAGUCUUCUUCAAUAUCUUUUUAUUUUUUUUACUGAAACUGAAAAAUCAUUGUCUACUGCAGAGAAUCUCCAUACAAAAUUCAUAGAUCUUCAACACUAGAGAGUCCUUUUGCAAUUUUAGAUGAUUUGUUUUAAAAACGCAAUCCCUAACAACUUCGAGUGGCAAUUGCUUUGGCUAAUGUAGGCAUUGUGAAAGAGUCUUAAGCCACAUCUGUUACAAAUAUCUUGUGAAGAUAAACCAGAAUUCGGGGAGUUCCAAUCAUCUCAUUUGCCCGAUAUGCUUACCAGUGAAGGUGAAGAAGUUGACGAUUCAGAAAUAUCUAUCAGUCGAAGGAGGUCUUGAGAUAAUGAAACAUGCUUAUACUUGCAUACUUCAGAGUUGGUAAUCUAAGAUUGACACAUUUGAGUUUGGGAUUAAGAAUUGGAGGAUAAUCACUUCCUGGCCUUUUGGCUAAGAUCAAGUUCUUAUGAGUUUAAGAUCUGAUACAUCCAAGGAUAAUAUAUUAAGUGGAUUUCUGGAGCAAGGAGUUGGAAGAGGAGCCUGCUCCAGCCACCCGUUGCAUGGACCUGGCAUUGCAAUACUUCCAGGAACGGGGCACCCCCCUCAGGGACAAUGGUAGCAGUGCAAAUGGCAGCUGGUUCUAGCUUUUGCAGUAGUCCCAUGGAGCAUGCACAGGGGAG